GCUCCCGUAGCUCAGUGGAUAGAGCAGCGGAUUUCUAAUCCGUUGGUCGCAAGUUCGAACCUUGCCGGGAGCG
RNAcentral lists this transfer RNA (73 nucleotides) under Verrucomicrobiales bacterium. Its description in RNAcentral is "tRNA-Arg". It matches the Rfam family "tRNA". Rfam says of the family: Transfer RNA (tRNA) molecules are approximately 80 nucleotides in length. Lineage: Bacteria; Pseudomonadati; Verrucomicrobiota; Verrucomicrobiia; Verrucomicrobiales. The record is from RNAcentral.